CAGGCACCGGGACACGGAAUUUCAAAGCUCUCCCUUGUCUCCGUGUGACCAGAACUGUAAACUGGACUUCUGCAAGAUAACCAUAUUUCACAGCAUUCAACCAACAGCGAGGUGGUCAGGAGAUUCCUAGGCAUAUCUACAAUAUGUGUCUUCCUCUUCAUACUGAAUUUAAUCUGCACGACUUUAAGCUAGUAUGAUCUAAACUGGAAUAUUGGAGAAGGAGAAAAUCUGUUACACGGACACUCUAACAGAUAACUGAGAAUGAUCUUGACCUUCUUCACCACCCAGCAAACUUAAAGGGGAACA
Molecule: long non-coding RNA, 306 nt
Filed under: Fukomys damarensis (Damara mole-rat)
Lineage: Eukaryota; Metazoa; Chordata; Mammalia; Rodentia; Bathyergidae
Description: lncRNA (ENSFDAG00000030080.1)
Source: RNAcentral